GUUCUCUGACUUCCUUCACACAAGAAAUCAGCCUUAGUUACAAUAUGCACAGCCUCAAGCAUAUAGAUAUGUGUGCUUACUAAAUUUAUUUUUUAGCGCAUGCUGCCGGCGUUCUCGACGUGCUCUACCGAGCUUAUAGAUCGCUGGGAGAAAAAACUCGCUGGUUCUGACGGAUCAUAUGAACUGGAUAUCUGGCCGGAGUUUCAGAACCUCACCGGAGACGUGAUCUCCCGAACGGCAUUUGGCAGCAGCUUCAUGGAAGGGCGAAGGAUCUUCCAACUUCAGGGCGAGCAAGCAGAGCGGCUAUUCAAGGCCUUCCAGUAUAUGUACAUUCCAGGCUUCAUGUAAGAACUUUCUGAUCUGUCACAUGGUACAGUAAUUCUAGUACAUAUAUUAAAGGUCAUCACAUUCAUAUGUGUGUGCUCAUGCCGUUAUAUAUAUGCAGCUUCUUCCCGACACAGAACAAUCGGAGGAUGAAAGAAAUCAACAGGGAAAUUGAAGGGACUCUAAGGGGCAUGAUCGAGAAGAGGGAGCGCGCAAUCGAGAAUGGCGAAACCAGCGGCAACGACUUGCUCGGCUUGCUGCUGCAGUCAAACAUGGAAAGCGGGAAAGGCAACCUGAGGAUGAGCACCGAGGACAUGAUUGAGGAGUGCAAGCUCUUCUACUUCGCGGGGAUGGAAACCACGGCAGUGUUGCUCACAUGGACACUCGUCAUCCUAGGCAUGCACCCUGAGUGGCAGGACCGCGCGAGGGAGGAGGUCCUCAGCGUGUUCGGCAGGGACAAGCAGCCCAAUUUUGAUGGCCUAGGUCGACUCAAAACGGCAAGUGUUUCUUUGCAAUACCAUGUAUAUGCAUGUUUGCUCCAACCAUUCAACAUUAUAUUACCUGUUAACAUUGUUUGUACCUACAUGAUAUCCAGGUGACGAUGAUACUAUACGAGGUGCUCAGGCUGUACCCAUCGGUAGUGACCCUAAAUCGAAGAGUAUCCAAAGACAUGCAUAUUGGAGGCAUCACAUACCCUGCAGGGGUAAUCCUCGAGCUUCCCAUAAUCGUCCUCCACCACAACCCUGAUGUCUGGGGGAAGGACGCACAUGAGUUCAAGCCAGAGAGAUUCGCUGAGGGGAUCUCAAAGGCGACCAAGGACCAACCAGCAUUCUUCCCCUUCGGAUGGGGGCCGAGGAUCUGCAUCGGGCAGAACUUUGCGUUGCUUGAGGCCAAGAUGGCCUUGAGCAUGAUCCUCCAACGCUUUGAGUUCCAACUAUCGCCUUCAUACACGCAUGCACCGUACACGGUCGCUACGCUGCAUCCUCAGCAUGGCGCGCCAAUUAUAUUCAAGAAGAUCUGAUCGUCUUGUAUGACAUUGUCAAUCGGUCGUUAUCAAUGAGUAUGUCACAGUGCAAAAAUAGUAGAUUUGUAUGAGUACAGUAUUAUUUUUUUGAUGAAACAGGAGGGGUGCCCCCUACUGGACUUUUAUUGAAAAUAAAUAAUGAGUACAGUAUUAUUAGAGGGUUUAAUUUUGUGUAUCUGAAUUUUGAGGUGGAAACAGUAGUAAAUCGUAGGAUUGAAACUAGCUUAGCUGUCCUUUUCUAAUGUUUCGAUCAGCUUCUUCAUCAAAUUCUUGUAUUCAGCGUUCAAAUUCAUAUCAACGACCUAGCCGGCCGCUGGCUUACUCCUAUUUUCACAACUAUAUUCUAUCCACUCCGAAUUGUAUAUCACUUCGAAGUUGUCCUUUGUCGAACUUCCUUCUCUAACUUUGAAGUUCAAAUAAAUAAUUAAACUAUCAAGACAUAUUUUUUUGAAGAAUACGAUGAAACCCUUCUCUAACUUCCUUCUGUUAGACUAAUAUAAUUAGGCCUAUAACUGUGGAUGUAAUCAUGUAAUCACGCCAAUUACGGUAGCAUGCCACUCAAACGUGUAUAUAUAUAUAUGUACUCCUGUACUCAUACUUGGAAUACAAUCAUUUAUUCCCACAUUCUCAUGGUAUCAGAUAGCGGUUUCCAUCCGCCACACUUCCACAACCCCAUCUCGUGCAGCCGAUCGCCGCACCAUCGCUGCCGAACCACUCGCUGGGAGCGCCGCCAGGUCCUGAUCGCGCCGCGCACACAUCCCGAUCGCCUGCCUCGUUGCUGUCCAAGCCGUUGCAGCCACCGAUCCAGCUGCUUCUCCACGCGCCCGCCCGACUCCGCAGUCCGCCUCGCAUCACGCGGACUCGCCAGGCCAUCCUCGCACAGAGCCGCCAGGCUGUCAUCACGUCGCGCCUCUGCACGUCGCCCGCGCCGUCAUGAUGGCGGCUGGAGACGACGACGCUGCUGCUGCAGCAGCUGCCAAGGACGCUGAGGACAGACGCCUCGCAGAUGAGGCCAAGGCUCGACUCCACGAAGCGCUCUAGGCACAAGCCAGGCGCAAGCCACUGCCGUCGUCAACAGUGGCGGAGCCAGGAUUUCAAACUUGCGUAUUCCCACUUCCACAAAGUUAAAUUUAUAGACUUAAAAUAUAGUCAAUGAUACUGUAAGUCAGCAACUUUAAACUAAUAUUUGCUUUCUAGGAUAUAGAUUUCUAAUUAAAAUGUCAGUUUACAUGUUUUGAGCUCAAAUGUGCGAAAAUACUAUAGAUUAUAGCAUUAUAUAUUUAUAUAUAUAAAUAUAUACACAUAUUUACAUAAAAGUGUACCAAAAUAGUUGGGUAUUCCCAGAAAUACUUGGGAAUACCCCUAGAUCCGCCCAUGGUCGUCAACGUGAAGGCUCUCAUCCCGGUCAUCCUCGAUUAGGCGACGACCACCUACACCAAGUGGUGCGGCAUGUUCCUCACUGUCCUCAGCAAAUAUGCCCCUGACUCAUCACGUCCUUGAGGACGAAACAUUCCCGUCACGCCCCGCAUGGGUUGAAGCCGAUUGCUGCAUCCUGGAUCUACGACACCCUUUCUAGUGACCUGCAGCAAUCUCUGAUGAUGCGACAGGGCCCGGCUCGCGGGGCGUGGUGCUACCUCGAGGAUGAGUUCCUCGGCCAAAAGGAGUCAAGGGCGCUUUUGCUCGAGAUGAAAUUGAUCCGCAACUUCCGUCAAGAGUCCCCGAGCAUCACCGACUACUGCCGCCAGCUCGAGUCGAUGGCGGCUUCCCUUGCCGAGUUCGGUGAUCCCAUCGGUGAUUGACAGAUGGUGCUCACGCUCCUUCGCGGCCUCGGUGGCAAGUUCUGCCACAUGGUGUCCAUCCUCAAGAUGCACAGGCUGUUCCCCACGUUUGCGGAGGCACGGGCGCAUCUGCUGUUGGAGGAUAUGGAAAUCGAUGCACGUCCUCUGUCCUCGCCAUCAGCACUUGUCACUACAACGCCACGACCUGCGGCUCCAGGGGCUCCGGCGCCUCCACGUCCGGAGGCGCCUCCUCCAGCACCCCCCUGGUGCCCAACGGCCAACGCACCGGCCGUCGUCGCGGUCACGGUGGAGGCAAUAGCCAACAGCAGGGCCAAUCAGCGCCCCUGGCCCGGUGGCACCCCUUCGGCUGGACAAGGGGGUGCACCCCCCGGUAUGCAUCUGUCAUUCGUGCACCCAUGGGCUGGCACUAUGCGGUUGUGGCCAUAUGACCAGUCCGGGCGCCCACCCCCACCGUUGCCAGUGUUCAGUGACGUUCCACAGUACAACAGCUUCGGUGGCGCAUCUAGCGCCUAUGGUGGCAUCUAUGGCGCUCCAUCCGCUUUGUACGACACGUGCUACGGGGGAGCUGCACCCCCCGGGUUUCUAGGCGCCUGCACCGGCGUACCAGGCGGCGCCCUAGAACCCUACUCACGAUGGUGCAUGGCAUCAGGACGCCCUUGCAUACUCCUUCACCACCAUGACGUUGAACCCACCACACACUACUUCUGGGUGGUACGCCGACUCUGGUGUAGGAUCGCACAUGACAUCGGACACUGGUAAAAUCUCCACCCCCUCCCCCCAACUUCAUUCACGCCUUCAUUUAUCAUUGUGGGCAAUGAUGCUUUGGUUCCUGUCACAGCCACUGGAUCACACACCUUUUCUUUACGACAUCACAGUAUGCCCAUGUCUUCACCAAGGGUACGUCUUUCUACCUCAUUAUUUCAGGAGUUCCAGUCUAGUCUGAUCAUUAGCGAUGCCUCUAAUUAGACGUCGGGAGAGUGUUAGACUAAUAUAAUUAGGCCUAUGUAAUCACACCAAUUGCGGUAGGCUUGCAUGCCACCCAAGCGUGUUAUAUAUGUACUCCUGUACUUAUACUUGGAAUACAAUCAUUUAUUCCCACACUUCACCUUCAAUUGUCUGCCGGAUGAAUCGGAUUCCGAGGCGCGUAGCUCCGUUGCCCUGGUGUGGGUUAACAGCAGCCGUUAUGUGUGGCUCUGCAACAGAAGGUGACAGGCGCCGUCGAGCUGGUGCUGCCGGCGGGGCCGAGUGUUAGCAGUAGGCAAGGGUUGGAGAAAUUGGGGAAGGGAAUUAAGACGAACAGCAAGCAAAGACGCAGAUAGAUCGGCGAAGAAACGAAGAUGAGUGCUUAGGCAGUUAGAACUUGGUUUACAACUUUCUGAAUGCCUCUCUUCUCUCCCAAGCCAAGUCUUAUACGAUACAUGGGCAAAGCCCCGCCCGUGCACGCAGGCACGCUAAACCCAUUCUGGGCCGGCUAAACGGACGUUGGGCUUCCUCACGCGAACCCGAGUGCUUGACCCAUGGGCUUCUUCUCCUGUGGCCUCGUCAGGUGGAGAAGUGCUGACACUCCCCGGGUCUUGAGGACCUGCUUGACCCCAAGCAGGAGCAUGGGGAAAUGACUGACGAAGAUGUGCCAAAUUUUCCCAGGUAGCCAUCUCCUUGGGCCAGCCAGACCAACGAACCAACCCUUGUUCCACCGAGCCAUGAGCAGCAGGAACCGUGCGAGUCUGUAGAACAGCCAUGGGUAUACGAGGGAGCUCGGUGUCAGAAGGUAAAACAGGGGAUACCUGAGUGCCAGGCAAGACAGCCGCCUUAAGCUGGGAGACGUGGAACACCGGAUGAACUUAUGUUGUGGGUGGCAACUGUAACUUGUAUGCUACACUACCAAUUCGUUCCAGAACGGUGAAGGGCCCAAAAUACUUGAAGGACAGCUUCUGGUUGGCGCGAGGGGCCAGAGUAGACUGCACAUAAGGUUGGAGCUUCACAAAGACCUCAUCCCCCACACUGAAAUGACGCUCAGAGCGAUGCUUGUCAGCCUGCUUUUUCAUGCGUUGUUUAGCUCAGGCCAAGUGUUGGCGAAUCAGAUCAGUGAUCACCUGACGGUCGCGAAGCCAAGUGGGGAUGUCUGGAACAACCACGUCAUCCAAGACGGAAAUACCAAAGUGGCGCGGAGCAUGACCAUAGAGGGCUUCAAAUGGAGAAAACCCAGUAGCUGAAUGCGGGGAAGUGUUAUACCAAAACUCGGCCAGGCCCAACCAAGAAGACCAUUUGUGAGGACAAGCAUUCACAAAGCAGCGAAGAAAAGUUUCCAUGGUUUGAUUAAGACGCUCUGUUUGCCCAUCCGACUGGGGGUGGUAACUGGAGCUCAUUUGCAGAGACACAUCUGCUGCACGGAAAAGUUCUUUCCAGAAGGUGCUCGUAAAGAUACGAUCCCGAUCAGAGAUAAUCACCGAUGGCAAUCCAUGUAAUUUGUAGAUGUGGUUUAGGAAUACCUUGGCAACAUGCUGGGCAGUAAAUGGAUGCAAGAGGGGAAUAAAAUGGCCAUAUUUAGUGAAGGAAUCCACCACCACUAAGAUGCAAUUGGCAUUCCCAGAACGAGGCAACCCUUCGACAAAAUCCAGAGAGAUGAUCUGCCAAGCUGAAGCGGGUACCGGUAAGGGCUGAAGUAAACCAGGGAGGCGGGAACGAUCUGGUUUUGCUCGUUGACAAGUCAGGCAAGACUCGACAAAGGAACGGACGGAGGUCUUCAUGCCAUGCCAAUAGAAUAUCUGUUUCAUGCGGGCAUAAGUGACGGGAAAUCCGGAGUGACCGCCCAAGGCCGAAGAGUGAGUUGCUUGAAUGAGCCAUUGUUGGAGAGAAGGGUUAUCCCCAAUCCAUAUUUGCGUUCCGCGGCGAAGAACACCAUCCCUCAAUGAAAACCUAGAUACAGCCUGAGGGUCAAUCGACAGCUUAGCAAUCAUAUCCAGGGUGGCCGGGUCCUUAUCGUAACCCGAAGUUACUUCCAGAAUCCAAGAGGGUUGGACAACAGACACCGCAGCACAGACAGAGUCAUGAAAGGUCUUCCUGGACAAAGCAUCAGCUGCCCGAUUGGAGGAUCCAGGCUUGUACACAAUACGAAACUGAAGGCCAGCCAACUUAGAGAACACUUUUUGUUGCCAAGGAGUGUGUAACCGUUGGUCAGUGAGUUGGACCAGACUUUGUUGAUCGGUAUAAAUGAUGAACUCCGCCAGUUGAAGAUAAGAGCGCCACUGUUGUACUGCCAAAAGGACUGCCAAAUAUUCUUUUUCAUAAGUACUAAGCCCGCGGCUGCGAGGACCCAGCGCCUUGCUUAAGAAUGCCAAAGGAUGACCAUCCUGAGAUAACACAGCGCCAAUCCCUGUAGCACUAGCAUCCGUUUCAAUGCUAAACGGUUUAGAGAAAUCUGGCAAUGAUAAAACCGGAGCAGAGCUUAAUGCAGUCUUCAGCACUUGGAAGGAAUCUUCAUGGGCCGGAGUCCAAUGAAACAAAACAUUCUUCUUCAACAAGUCAGUCAAUGGCUUAGCAAUGAUGCCAAAGUGGCGCACAAAUUUCCGGUAGUAGCCAGCCAACCCGAGGAACCCGCGCAAUUCCUUGAGGUUGGUAGGAGUAGGCCAACCAAAGACUGCAGCAAUUUUUUGAGGGUCCGUAGCAACACCUGCUCCAGAAAUAACAUGCCCCAGAUAAGCAAUGCUACGUUGUGCAAAAUCACAUUUAGACAACUUAAUCUUCCAAUCAUGAACUUGUAACUGUUGGAAGACACACUGAAGAUGUUUCAGAUGUUCCUCAUAAGAUUUGCUGAAAAUAAGGAUGUCAUCAAAAAAAACAAGUACAAAUUUGCGGAGGAAAGGAGCCAAUGUGGAGUUCAUAGCCUCCUGAAAUGUGCCUGGAGCGCCAGUGAGACCAAAUGGCAUAACUCGGAACUCAAAAUGGCCGAAGUGUGUUUGAAAUGCAGUCUUGAAUUCCUCUCCAGGUUUGAGCAGGAUUUGAUGGAACCCUGAACGUAAAUCCAGCUUAGAAAACCAGGAAGCACCCCCUAACUCAUCCAACAAUUCAUCGAUAAUGGGAACUGGGUAUUUGCCUUUCACAGUGAUGGCAUUAAGAUGGCGAUAAUCAACACAAAAACGCCAGGAAUGGUCUUUUUUCUUGACUAACAGCACUGGCGAGGAAAAAGGACUGGUGCUUUUUUGAAUAAUGCCAGAGUCCAACAUUUUCUUGACCUGACGUUCCACUUCAUCCUUGAUAGUUGGUGAAAACCGAUACGGCCGAGUAAAGACUGGAGAAGCACCAGAAACAAGAGGGAUAGAAUGAUCACAACUGCGAGACGGUGGAAGCUGGUGCGGUUUCUCAAACAAGGUAGAGUAGUGCUGAAUGAGGUCCUGGAUUUCUGGAGGCCAAGAAGACUGAUCUGGCUCGGUUGGAGGCUCAAUCCCAACAUGCAGAACCGCACCAGCAGGCAACUCUGGCAAUAUACCCACCAACUGAACCGAAUGUCCUUCAUGGAAAAACUGUAUCCACUUCUGGGCCCAAUGUAUCUCCAUAGGACUAUGGUUUUCUAGCCAAUCCAGGCCUAAUAUCAUGUCAUAGGAAGAUAACGGCAAGACCUUGAUGUCAGAAGUAAACUGAUAUUGUUGAAUAGACCACUGAGCAUCCGGAAUAUGAAAUGAGCACUAUAACAACUGACCAUUAGCCACCUGAACCUUUAAUGGAACAGCCAGAGGUUGGAGAAUGUCAAGCUGGGAGGCCACAGCUGAACUGAUGAAUGUAUGUGAACUGCCCGAGUCCAGAAGAAUACGCACCGGCUGAGUACCCAGACAACCCCAGAAGCACAUGGUACGAGGUGCAAUAGACCCAGAAACAGCUGCAACAGAUAAUGUCAGGAACAAUUGCUCAUCUGUCUGGUCAAUAGGAGCUGCAUCAACCUCAGAAGCUUCAUCCAGUUGUAAAACAUCCAGAAGUUCCUGAACCACAUGGAGCUGCACUGCCUGUGGACACUGGUGAUCCCGUGACCAUUUACCACCACAGCGCAUACAUAAACCCUGGGCACGUCGGGACGCACGAAGCGCCGACCAACGUUCUUCAGUUGAAGGAACUCGGCCACCUUCAGGCAUAACUUUGGCUUCAGGAGCUGGUAAUGCCAACCGGUUAGGUGGGGCUGGCAGCGGCAAUGCCGUCCUCAUGUUAGGACGCAUCGCCACUGUGUUAUCCCAUCGCUUCACAUCACGCCUCCUGGCAGGGUCCGCGACAUCCUCCUGCAAGCGAGCCAGAACACACGCAGUAUCGAAUGUUUGUGGAUGAUGCAAGGAUACAGCAACUUUAAUGUAAUCCUUUAAGCCAUCAAUAAAGCGCAUAGUAUAAAACAAUGGAUCAGAAGUGCCACCAUAAGCAGUGAGUUGUGUUGGGGAAAAGCUGCAUCCUUCCCCCCGGUAGCGCCGGAGGUUAUCCUUCACCUGGGGAACCUCCGACGCCUGGAACGUCGGAGGAUAUCCUUCGACGGGAAAUGCUAAUGUUGACGACUCGUCUGGUCGUGCAAAGUGUGUGCAGGGACUGAAGCACCGGCGGAGGUCCACGACUGAGGAAAGGUUGGAACCUCCGACCCUCCCGGGUCCGAGGAUGGCGGGAGAACGUAGCCAGGCCAAGGAGGAACUCCCGGGAUGGCCGGGUGAAGCAACCUCCGACCAGCCGGGCUGCGGAACCACCGACACCAAAGCGUCGGAGGAUCCGCAACUGGGCGGAGGAUCCGAGCCUCCGACCUGCUGAGGCCCCAGUCAAAGGAUGAACGGAGGGUUCGCAAUGUGAAAUUACGCGAGUGUAUUGGGGUCAGUAGACUGCGAUGGAAGAAUAUGCUGGAAUAUUCCCCCACCGUCACGGGGCAUUUAUGUAAAUGUCGUUGGGUCGGUUUCCGGGCCCUAUAUAAGGGGCGUGAUGCUGCCAUUAAUAGUGAGAGAGCAUUCAUUGUAUUCACCUACUGUUGAGCCCACUGUCCGUUACUGCUCAAGCCUCUCACGGCACCGAGUGAGAAGGUCCUCGAUCUACUGUACUGCUGGGGCGUGCGAAAAGCACCUUCCCAACAUUGGCGCCCACCGUGGGGCCCGAGGUAUAACCUGCGAUGGCUGGAAAGAGAACAAGCACCACGAGACCUCGGGCAGAGCCCUCCAGGAGAGGGAGGCCGAUGAGGGCCGUGCGAAGCGCGUACACGACCGUGGAGGGAGAAGGUUCUCAGGACGAGCAGCCAGAGAACGAGCAGCCGGAAACACGCCGAGAACCUCCUCCCGCCGCAGACCCGGCGCAACCCACUGCCGCACAAGAGCUCCAGCAACUGCAAACGCAAUUGCGGAACCUUCAGCAAGAGCGAGACCGGAUCGCUGCUGCCUACGCCGCCAGCCAAGAGGCAGCGGUAGCCGCGACGCAAGCAGCCGAGAUCAGGCAGCAGCUUUCACUCCUGCAGGCAGAAAUCCUUAGCAUGCAACCUCCAGCUCAGCCGACAAUUCAGCCCGCUGUUCUGAACAGCGCCGGCCCAACAUUAGAUGUGCAACCGAUGAACUACGGCGGCAUGCCGCGGGGCACGUUGGACCUUCGUUCCCCUCUGUCCGAAGGAUUGCAGACCUCGCCUUGGCCAACAACCUACAAACCAAUCACGCUCCCUAAAUUCAGCGGAAAGGCCGAUCCGCGCCAAUUCCUGAUGAGUUUUGAGGCAGCCGUGGCCUCAGCUGGAGGGAACGAGACUGUGAUGGCAAAAUCUUUCGUGAUCGCGGCCGAGGGAGAUGCCUUGGCAUGGUAUUCGAUGCUGAGGCCCGGGUCGAUCUAUUCGUGGGAGAACCUUCGAGACAAGAUUUUAGCGAAUUUCCAGGGAUUCGCAGUUGAAUCACUAACCUCCACGGACCUAUUCCAGUGUCGCCAGAGUCAGGGAGAGGCACUGCGGGAUUACUUCCAAAGGUUCGUGCAGACCAAGGCGAGAGCACCCGGCGUGCCGGAGGAGGUUGCCAUUGAAGCGGCCAUCAAGGGUCUCCGCAUAGGACCCUUCGCGGCUCAUUUGGCCAGAGAAAAGCCAGCAUCCAUGCACGAGCUGUACCACGAGUUUGAGAAGUAUUGCAGGUCAGACAACGAUUACCGCAAAAGGUUGGAAGACCAAAACUCUCAGAAGAGGCAGAGCAAUGAUAGAAACUCACAGAAAAAGAACCUCAGCCAGGAUGGACGCCGGCCACAGCAAGAGGCUGGUGGACAGAUGAUGAAUAUCGAGCAACCGAAAAACGAAAUGCCGGAAAAUAACCGUCCACCAGCGGAAGCACGAAGCUCGGGACGCACACCCAAUCAAGCCGGAAGAGGGGGUCGAAAUGCGGGAUGGCAAAAAAAUCAAAGUCAGCGACCACGGAAACAGUAUUGUUUCUUCCAUGGAGAGGAGAAGGGUCACUCCACCAGAGAUUGCCCAGAUGCAAAAGAAACUCAGGAGAGGAUCAAGAGCAGGUCAACUCCACAACCUCCGAUACCAGUUGCUCAGCCUCGGGAAGUAAAUCACACAUUCCCUCAAACCUUCUACCAUUCAUAUGUCGGAGGUUCAAGCCAGCAGCACCCAGCUCCGCUUCAGCCCAGCGCACUAGCCUCCGCUUACUAUCCCAGUUUCCUACCAGCUUGGCGCCCAGCCCAGCAAACCGCGGACCACAAUCUUCCACCAAACUAUGUUCCUCCACGACCUCCACAUAUCACGUACAUCGAAACCCCGCAACCCCAGCAGUCACUACCUCCUCCCCCAAACCAGCUACAGCUACUCCAAGCCCCACCACCACCAAAAACCGAACCCCACCCUGAUAAUCAGAUCGGCCCUCAUACACCCCUGCCAACAAUUGGAAUGAUCUUACCAAUAGCUGGGGGGUCCUCAAUGGAGUUCCAGACAAAGAAACAGAAGAAGGAUCACCUCAGGCUCGUCAACAACGUUGCAGUUCAAGGGCCAGUGAGAUGCACUGAUUGGUCCAGAACCCCAAUAACCUUCACCGAGGAAGAUCUAAGAUUGGAAAGCUACCCUCACACAGACGCCUUGGUCAUAACAACAAAUGUUGCGGGUUGGGGAGUAAGCAGGAUAUUAGUAGAUUCAGGGAGUUCCGCAGACAUAAUAUUUGCUGGAACCUUCGACCAAAUGAAGCUCAGCAGAAGCCAACUCCAACCUGCGGAGUCACCUUUGAUCGGGUUCGGAGGAAAGCAGAUACAUGCUCUGGGAAAGGUCGCCUUGCCCGUAUCCUUCGGCACAACAGAGAACGCAAGAACAGAGUACGUCACCUUCGAUGUGGUAGACUUGCACUACCCAUAUAAUGCCAUAUUCGGGCGAGGAUUCUUGAACAAGUUCAAUGCGGCCGCUCAUAUGGGAUACCUGUGCAUGAAAAUCCCGGCUCUGCACGGAGUCAUAACGGUUCACGGAAGUCAAAAGGAGGCAAGGAACAUAGAGAAAGCAAUCUACAAGUCCUUCCGGAACAUAAACUCCGUAGACUCUACGCAGCAUGAAGCUUCCCAGCCGCCAGACAUGCCAAGGGGGAAAACAGACCUGGCUGAUCAGGAGGAAACGAAGUGUAUCCCUCUGCAGGAAGCUGUUCCAGAUAAGAAGGUCACCAUCUCCGCCACCCUUGGUAGAGAGGAGGAACUCGAAUUGCUAGACGUAUUGCAAAAGAACCAAGAUAUCUUCGCUUGGAGUGCCGCUGACCUACAAGGAGUCAGCAGAGACAUAAUAGAGCAUUCGCUGAACAUCGAUCCGAGAAUGAGGCCAAAGAAGCAAAGACAGAGGAAAAUGUCUGAAGAAAGAACCUUAGCCGCGAAGGCAGAGGUACAAAGACUCCUGGACGCAAAGGUCAUCAGAGAAGUCAUAUACCCGGAAUGGUUGGCAAAUGUGGUCUUGGUCCCCAAGAAAAAUGGCAAAAUGAGAAUGUGCAUAGACUUUACAGAUCUCAACAAGGCUUGUGUCAAAGACUCCUUCCCCUUGCCAAGGAUAGAUACCUCUGUGGACAAAGCAGCUGGUUGUCAGAGAUUCUCACUGCUGGACUGUUUCUCUGGUUACCACCAAAUUUGGCUCAAAAAAGAAGACGAAGGAAAGGCAAGCUUCACGACCCCAUUCGGCACGUAUUGCUACACCAGAAUGCCAGAAGGUCUCAAAAACGCUGGAGCAACCUUCUCCAGAAUGAUGGGGAAGGUUCUAGGAAGUCAGCUACAGAGGAACAUCAUAGCCUACGUCGACGAUGUUGUCGUCAUGAGCAAGCGCAAGGAAGAUCAUAUCAAGGACCUGCAGGAAACAUUCGUCAACCUUAGAUCUGCCGGGCUGAAACUCAACCCGGAGAAGUGUGUAUUUGGGGUCAGCAAGGGAAAAAUGCUAGGGUAUAUCAUCAGCUCCGAAGGAAUUAGAGCUAACCCAGACAAGACAAAAGCAAUCAUGUCAAUGGCAGAACCUUCAAACAAGAAAGAAGUCCAAAGACUGACCGGCCGAAUAGCAGCCCUCAACAGAUUCAUAUCAAGAUCGGCAGAACGGAGCCUCCCAUUCUUCAAAGUGCUGAGAGGAGAAGGUAAAACAGAAUGGGGUCCGGAACAAUCAGAGGCCUUCAGGCAGCUCAAGAAUUACAUUGCAACCAACCUGGUGGUAACAGUGCCCGAGCCAGACACUCCACUACUACUGUAUGUGGCUGCCUCCGAGCACGCUGUCAGCGGUGUUCUAGUGCACGAGACAAGCGACACUAAGGGAACGGUGCAAAGACCCGUUUACUACGAAUCCGAAGCUCUGUCAGGAGCAAAGCUGAACUACACAGAGAUAGAAAAAAUCGCGUACGCGGUCCUAUGUGCAUCGAGGAAGCUCAAGCAUUACUUCCAAAGCCAUGAAAUCAAAGUGCCCACAUCACAGCCAUUGGGUGAUAUCCUUAGGAACAAAGAGGCUUCCGGACGUAUAGGAAAAUGGGCGGCCGAACUAUCACAGUUCGAUAUCACCUAUGUCCCCAGAACCUCCAUCAAAUCCCAGGCCCUGGCUGACUUCAUGGCAGAUUGGACACCUUCGAACAAAAACGACGAGAAGGUAAUCAAUCAGCCGUGGACGCUGUAUACGGAUGGCGCCUGGGGUCAAGCGGGAGCAGGAGCGGCAGCCGUUCUAAUCGCACCAUCUGAACUCAAACUAAAGUUUGCUAUACGACUCGAAUUCAAAGCAACAAACAACAUAGCUGAGUAUGAAGGUCUCAUCCUCGGGCUGAACAAAGCUAAGGCUUCGGGAGCAAAGACACUACUCAUCAAAACAGACUCCCAAGUGGUGGCAGGGCAAGUGGAGAAGGAAUACCUAGCACACAACCCGGAGCUGGCAAGGUAUCUGGCCGUCGUAAGAGGCCUGGAGAGAAGGUUCAAGGGAUUCACUCUGCAGUACAUUCCAAGAGCCGAAAACUACGAGGCAGACGAGCUAGCGAAAGCAGCAGCCAACAACACCCCCUUGCCAGAAGGAACCUUCCACCAGAUUGUUGCAACACCCGCAACCGAAUCAUUGCCAAAAGCCUUUCGCUCAGUCCUGCUGACAGAAAACGAAGAUUGGAGGCAGGCAAUAGCCGAUUGCCUCAAAGGCGAGACAGCUGUAGAUGACGAAGCAACAGCCAAGAGGAUGGAGGCAAGAGCAAGGAAUUACACCUCCAUCGACGGGAUCCUGUACAAGAAAGGCGUAGUCCAACCUUUGCUAAGAUGCAUAUCACAAAGCGAGGGCAGGGAACUCCUACAAGAGAUACACUCAGGGAUGUGCGGGUCUCACAUUGGACCUCGAGCGUUGUCUGCUAAAGCACUAAGACAAGGCUUCUACUGGCCAACUCACAUUAAAGAUGCUGAAGAAAUAGUGAAGACAUGCAAAGCCUGCCAAACCUUCUCACCAAUUCAGUCAGGACCUUCAGCACUAACUCAGCUCAUACCAGCAUCAUGGCCGUUGCAGAGAUGGGGAAUGGACCUGGUAGGACCAAUGCCAACUGCCCAGGGGGGAAACAAAUUCGCAGUCGUGGCUAUCGAAUACUUCACAAGAUGGAUCGAAGCUAAGCCAAUGGCAACCAUAACCUCUGAAACAAUCAGGAAAUUUUUCUGGCAGAACAUAGUCUGCAGAUUCGGAGUUCCACGCUUGCUCACAGUUGACAACGGAAAGCAGUUUGAUUCAGACAGUUUCAAGGAAUUCUGCCAUCACAUAGGAACCAAAAUUGCUUUCGCAUCUGUGUAUCACCCAGAGUCAAACGGGGCCGUGGAGAGAGCAAACAGAACAAUAUUCUCUGCAAUCUCCAAGACCUUACUCAACCUACGCAAGGGGAAAUGGGUUGAAGAACUACCAAGAGUUGUAUGGUCACAUAACACAACAGUUUCAAGAACAACUGGGUUCACUCCAUUCAAGCUCUUGUAUGGGGAAGAGGCAAUGUUGCCCGAAGAAAUCAAACACCAAAGCCUGCGUUCCAUGAACCAGCAGUUGGCUGAAGACGAAGAGUACUGCAAGGAAACCUUAGAAUCAAUAAGACUUGAGGCAGUGGAGAACAUUACCAGGUAUCAACAAGAAACCAAGAAUUGGAGAGACCGCAAGGUAGUACGAAAAGACAUACAAAAUGGGGACCUGGUGCUCAGGAAAAAAGGAGGUCAUCCAAACGCUGGUAAAUUGCAACCCAAGUGGGAAGGACCUUAUACAGCAAUACAAGCGGGAAGGUCGGGAUCCUUCUACCUGAAAGACCCCGAAGGAAGAACCUCCACCCACACGUGGAACGUCGACAAUCUACGUAGAUUUUACAUUUGAGUGUAAGGAUGACCCCUGCAAAAUAAGCGGCGGCAUCCACAUCCGUAAAUACGCUUGUUUUCUUUUUCUCUACUUUUUCGCAUUCCAAGGUCUGCACUCUUUUCCUCACAGGGGUACUCCUACCAGGAGGUGAGGUUUUUAACGAGGCAGAACCUAUGUAAAAACCUCUGAAAUAUAAAGAGGAAUCCACCCCAGAACCGAAUCCCAAAAAGUCGAAAAACAGCCAGCAACGAGGCUGUAGCAUUCGACAAAACAUCACGUGAUCACAAGGACCCUCCGCAGCUUUCAUCCAAAAGAUAAGAAAGCUCGGAACGUCCUCAAAGGUGAAAGAACACCAAAUCCUUAGCAAAAGACCUAGCCAAGAGCCGGGCAGCAAGGAUAACAUGGCCAAAAAAGUGAAAAAGUCCUGUCCUCCUCAGGCAUCACAACAUGGCCAGAAGGAACAAAACCUUCAAACCUGACAAAGACCUGAGGAAAAUCAGGCAUCAGGAACUAUAUUAUUUUUGCCAAAAGGCAGCGGAGGUUUAACAUUCACAAGACAGACCUCAACAAAAUUCACAUAACCUUCACCAAAAAAAGGUCGAAGGUAUCCUGCUACUCUAAGCAGACCCCCAACAAACAAAGUGUGAAAUUAAAACGAAACUACAAUAACCCUCAACCAGGCACAGCAAAACCAACUACCACAACAACCAUCAAUAACCCGACAAUAAGUUUUAACCUAACUAAGUACAUAAAAUAAAUGCACGAAAGCCUAUAAAACCUGACUAAACCUGCCCCCCACCCUCAAUCAGGAUCAGCAUACAAAGACCCGAUCAUCGAGUGCAAACCUAGCAGUCAAAAAGCAAAAAUCCUAGGCCACCAUGGAAGCAGGAGUUAGCCUCACAACAGCAACAAAACUUUGUAUCGCACGAAGCUUCGUAAUACUAGAACUACGGCGUUGUGAUGAACAUCGACCACAAAGUCGUGUACAGCCACAACAGAAACAAUGGAAGUCAGACUCAGAGGUCUCUGAAGGGUAUCGCACGAAGUCUCGUAACAUCCCUUCAGAACCUCCGACUUAGACAGCCGAAGGUUCUCCUCGACAACACUCCACGGGAGUCGAGCAAAGGAAAAAAAUAGCACAAUUCAGCAAAGGAUCCUUCGCUCCAAAAAAGUCGAAGGUUCUAAGGCAAAGAAACGGCGAUCCUCCGCGCAAGAAAAAAUCAAAAACACCUUCGCAACAUCAAGCAUCAAGAACAAGCAAGCCACAGCAACACAAAGAUCCUUAGGAUCAACACCACCGUAACGUUGCAAUAUAUACAUGCUGUAGCGCGAAGGUUGUAAUAAAAAUGAGAUCAAAGGUUGUAGCAAACUUAAAAACUUUAUUAUCGAUGAAGAAAUCAUUACAAAAGUUCGUUUACAAAAAAAAAAUGGAUAAAAUCAUCCUUCGACCCAUAAAAAGUCGAAGGUUAUGGGUAGCUUGUACAAGUUCAACUUUCAAACCCUCCUUCAACUAAACAACCGAAGGAUCUAUGAGUCACGUACAAACUAUAGCGCGAAGGCUGUCAAAAUUAAAAGGUGCGAAGGCCAUGUGGUAAAAAUAUCUGAUCUUUAUUAACCAUAUACAAUGUACAUAACACAAGCUUACAACAAAAAAUGAAAAACAUCCUCCGACCGUAAAACGCCGAAGGUUCUAAGACCCUCGCACAAUUCUAACAUACGAAUCUGGAAAAAGCCUAAGAUCAUCACAGUAAUCACGUACAAGGAAAUCAACUAAGUCAUCUAUACUACGCGUAGGAUACUUGUGGCGCCACCAGUCAAUUAGAUAACCCCUCGCGUACAAAUCUCCACGCUUGAACGUCACCGGGGUAACGUAACUUCCUUCGACAAAGUUCGAAGGAAGAUCUUCCAACGGAGAGGAAUUCACAACCUGCGCGCAGAAAAUAACUUCAAAUCCAACAAAAACGAAGGAUAAAACUAAAAAGCCAAACGAAGCUUUCGAACCUCCGGAAAACCUUGAAGAAAAGGCUCAGCAACAUCCUCAGAAGCCUCCGCCACCCAGCGUACCCUAUCUCUCUCACCAAAGAUGCGAAGGAUAGGAUAUGGCAGCUACAUAAACACAUCAAAUCAUGUCAUAAAAAAUAUAACCAAAACCUACGAUAAACGAAAAGAAAAACAAAAUCAUCCACCUACGCCGGAGGCCAUGAACCUCGGCGCGCAAGCGACUGGAUAAAUCCAGAUCCUUCGCCAUCAAUAUCAUAUCCAACAAACUCGAACAUAUCCACCAAUCUCAUAUUAGGGAAGGCAACUUGCCAAUACUCCCACAAUUCACCAGAAACAUAAAUCCCUUUGUAAAAAAACGAAAGGGGAGUAAUGAAACGAUCCUGCGCAGGUCCUCCGCCAGAGACCUGCGCAGGAUCAAAGUGUAAAACAAAGGCUUAUCUGAAAACAACUCAAUAUAUUAUAUUUUCAACAGUCUUUACAAAAUAAAACACAACCUCCGACCUUACUUACAAAAAAGCGUCACAUGCUUGGACGCAAAAAAGACUAAGAAAAACCUAAAAACUAAAAAGCCUCACACCUGAGGCGGAGGAGGAGCAGGAGCCUCGGGAGUCUCUGAAACCUUGGCACCAGAUCCCUCCGGAGCUUUGGCACCAGUAUCACGAGCCUCCGCUUCAGGCUGGGUCGGAGGACACGCCUCACUCGGUGGACGCGAAGGACCGGCCUUGACAACCUUAGCCUUCUUCUUCGCAAUCUCCUACAAAAUACCCAUCUUAAUUAACAUUGCAAAGCAGCGAAGCAAAUUACAAAAAGAAAUAACCAAAUAAUACAAACCUCAGCUCGACGAUCCUCCGCCAUUUUCUUCGCCUCAUCCCGCCCAAACCUAAUCCAGAACGAACCGAUAAAGUUCCGGACAGAUUUGCGCAGGGAAGGGGUCCCUUCGCCAACGUCCUCCGCCGCGGCAAAUUCCUCCUUGGAGACUCCCUCCGCGUGAGAGCAACCUCCGCGGCGCAAAAGCCUAGCGAAGGAGCUAACCGCGGCCAAAGCCCCAAAAUCAACAGCACCUCCGACAAAGUCGGGGAGCAUGCGGAUAUGAGACUUCAGCCACGCGAGGGCAGCCCCAACAUCGCCGCCGGGCGGAGGAGCAGAGGUGCUUCCCCCAAACUUCGCAAGCGAGUCGGCAUAGAGCCCGACAAUAGCUGCAGCCUCCGCUUCCGCCUUCUGUAUGCGAGUCUGCAGCUCAGCUGCAGACGUCCGCUCAGCGUCAAGCUCUUUGCGAAGGCGUUCAGCAAUGUCCUCCGCCUUCUCAGCUCGCUGCAGGGCUACGUCCCUAACUCUCCCCGCCUCAGCAACACUUGUGCGGAGGACCGCCACCGAAGCUUCGGCAUGAUCUUUCUCCUUCCUUAGAGCCUCCGACCCAGCCUUGUAGUCAUCCCUCUCCUUUUUCAGGGAGUCAACCUCCCGCCUGACGGAGGAAAACUCCCUAACCUCCUCCGACAGACGAGCCUUCUCAGCCUCCAAGGUCUCGUUCUCCUUCUUCAGAACACCAAUUGCCUCAUCACGGCAGAUAACCUCCCGGGAGCAACGCUCCUCUAAGGCGGCAGCCAUGUGGUGACCCUGCUCAAAAAUAAAUAGUUACAACAAACCUCCGAGUGAAAAACCGCGAAGGAAGAUACAACAAAGCGCAAACUUACAAGGCUAUGGUGCUCAUAUUGCACGCGAAGGAGCGUGUCAAAGUCCAUGCCGCGAAGCUUCUGACGAAAACGAUCUGUAAACCAAAAACAAUUAAGAAAAACCAUCGUAAGAAACAAAAAACCAUUGGCGGAGGCCAGAACACUAACCUCCGACCAAGGAAUGAACCUCGCGCAAGGCAUCAGUCCAACCUGUGAUCGAAGGUUCAGAAGCACCUGCACAUAACAAAAACAAACCUUAGAAUAAAAUGCCAAAAACAAACCAAACUGUUGAACCAAAAAGAAGAAACUCACCAGGACCAAGAACAUCAGCAGGCGAGGGCCUGUUGGCCAACGCAGAAGGCGCAGGCUCACGCGGCGGAGGUACGGCAAGCCCUUCCUGCGCAACACUGGCGCCUUUGGCCAUCUCCUCCGCGGUAGCCAGCCCAGCAAAAACAUCCGCUGAAAGAUAAACCAAAAACAUGAGAACAAGUCAAUCAAAACUUACAUAAAAACAAAAUAAUCAACAAAAAAUCAUUACCCAUGUAUAACGAGUUAAUACCGUCACCAGCCGGACGAAGGGGAGCCUCCGCCCUCCUGAUCCUCCGAACGGAGGCAGACUCAGCUUCGUCGCUGGACUCCACCUGAACCUCCUUAGGCGGAGACCCUCCGCCAACCGAAGCAACGCGCGGACCCUCAGACGCUGCAGGAUUCGCCUCCCGCGCAGGGCUCGCCUCAGGGGCCUCCGCGUCGGAAGACUCCUCCCCAAGAAGAGACGCGAAAGGCGCGCGCGCAGAGGAGACCGCACGCGAAGCUUCAACUUCAGGAGCUCCACCAGCAGCAGCGGCCUCCGCAGGUGCAGAAGCUACCGAGUUCGACUCGGCACCAGAUGAGCGGGCGGAGGAAGACUCCACAGGAGUCUCUAGCACAACCUCCGCCCUCCGCUUCUUCGCAAGCUGCUUGACUGCGCCACCCCCUCUCCUCUUCUUCGACUCCGCCAAGGCGACAGCCUUCGAGGAGUCCUUCUUCUUCUCCAACCCAAGCAAAACAUCCGGAGGAAUAACAUAAUCCUCAUACUCGAUCCCCAAUUCCUCAAAAACGCGGUUGAACCGGGGCAUCGUCCCAAGCGCAGACCUCCGCUGGAGAUAUUCCUUCUCCGAGAUCUUCCCGACAAUCCUCCGGGCAGAAACCUCCACACGAUCAAGGAAGGACUCCUUGGUCUCAUCCUCCGGAAUACCAGCGCCGAACCGGGGAAACGGCAACCCCUCCGGGGGACCAAAAACAGGAACUUGCACCAUCUCAAUGGUGAACUCAUCGGUCCUGCGGCCAAGUGGCCAAUAGUCAGCAGCGACCAUCUCCUCAACCAAAUCCCGACCUCCGGAAUAUCGGCAUGCCAGCGCAAAUGCCUUAUCACAAGCAAGUCGCUCCUCCGACAUCUCCUGCGAAGGAUCAACCUUCGAGAAAGGCUUCAACUCCUUCAUCAGCGACGCGUAAGGAUAAACCUUAUCAACGCUGCCGUCAUCUAAAGUCUUCGACGCAGCGGGGGUCCUCACGUAGAACCAAGCUCUCAUCCAAUCCUUCUCCCACUUCCCCUUUUGGCAGUAGGAGAUCUCGCACCUUGGCCCAGGCAUUGUGCGGCGCGGCAUGAACGCGCAGCUUCCAAACUGCGCAAUGCACUCAACACCUUCGGCAUCCUUCACCUUUUUAGGCUGGCGCUGGAGCUCAAAGUACGAGCAGAAAGUGUCGAUGUGGGGCAUAGCUCCGUAGGAUUCGCACGCCCAGGCAAAUUUGCUAAGGGUCAGUAUCCCAUUAGGGCUGAAAUGCUGCAGCUCCACGUUGAAACUCUCCAUCACUUCGCGAAGGAAAUGAUACGGAGGCAUCCGAAGUCCGCAAGUAAAGAAGUCCCUAAAUACCACCGCAUACCCCUCUUCAGGCGCAGGCACCGUCUGACCCGCAGGAGGAGCCUCCGCACGACCUUCCUUGAAAAACCUAGCCUCAACCAUGUCAGCGAUAUCCUCCGCCCUCACAGUCGACUGCCCGAACUCAAAGGUAAUCGCCGCCAUCUCCUCAAACUCCUUCGCACUGAUCAAAUCACCGACAGAAGCUUCGACGUCAGACAACGUCUCCUCCAGAUCUUGAGCUGCAGCCACCUCAAGCAUCCACUCCUCAAACCUCCGCAGCCAACCUCCAGACCUCACGCUAAGGAAACCGCGCAAAGGACCAGAAAAAUCUGACCUCGAAGGACGCGGUGAAGGAAGCUGAGCCACCGUAAAACCUCCGACAACACUUUAGAACUAAACGCACGCGAGCAGCUCAGAGAGAAAGACGUAGCGAAGGAAGGUGUGCAGGCAAUGAGCAGCAGGGGUGAGAGCUCAAAGCUCCCCAGCAUCCCCUUUUAUAGGGGGGGGGCCUGCGACCGCGCGGCCGUUGCGAUUCCCCGCGCCCAACGGCUAUAAGCGGAGGAAUCGGCCAGACCGUUGCGCUUCGUCAAUGCCAACGGCUAACUCCAACGGCAAUAAAAUCCUCCGCAAUCCUCCGCAAUCUAACGCGCGUAGGAUACCAGACUAAUAUAGCAGCAAUGAUCGGAGGAUCCCGGCAAAAUAAAGAAACAAGAAAAAUUACGACUAAGUAAAAGAAACAGUUAUCCAACAUUUGCUAACAAACACAUCCUGCGCACCAGGGGGGAAGGCAGCAACCAUGCUCGUAACCUCCGCAGCGUAGCAUGUUUUUGAGCACAUGGACCGCAGGAGUGCCAUUAGCCCAAAAAGGGGGGAACUGUUGGGGAAAAGCUGCAUCCUUCCCCCCGGUAGCGCCGGAGGUUAUCCUUCACCUGGGGAACCUCCGACGCCUGGAACGUCGGAGGAUAUCCUUCGACGGGAAAUGCUAAUGUUGACGACUCGUCUGGUCGUGCAAAGUGUGUGCAGGGACUGAAGCACCGGCGGAGGUCCACGACUGAGGAAAGGUUGGAACCUCCGACCCUCCCGGGUCCGAGGAUAGCGGGAGAACGUAGCCAGGCCAAGGAGGAACUCCCGGGAUGGCCGGGUGAAGCAACCUCCGACCAGCCGGGCUGCGGAACCUCCGACACCAAAGCGUCGGAGGAUCCGCAACUGGGCGGAGGAUCCGAGCCUCCGACCUGCUGAGGCCCCAGUCAAAGGAUGAACGGAGGGUUCGCAAUGUGAAAUUACGCGAGUGUAUUGGGGUCAGUAGACUGCGAUGGAAGAAUAUGCUGGAAUAUUCCCCCACCGUCACGGGGCAUUUAUGUAAAUGUCGUUGGGUCGGUUUCCGGGCCCUAUAUAAGGGGCGUGAUGCUGCCAUUAAUAGUGAGAGAGCAUUCAUUGUAUUCACCUACUGUUGAGCCCACUGUCCGUUACUGCUCAAGCCUCUCACGGCACCGAGUGAGAAGGUCCUCGAUCUACUGUACUGCUGGGGCGUGCGAAAAGCACCUUCCCAACAAGUUGGUCAAUGAGAGGGGUGAAUUGAGUAAUGUACUCAUUGACAGAAGCAGUUUGGCGGAUUUGGAAAAGCUGUCUAAGCAAAAGUUCUUUCUCAUCCUGCCCAAAAUGCUCUAUAAUCAGACUGGUGAAAGUGGGCCAAGAACAGUUUUGUAAGGUGGAUUCAACGGAUGAAUACCAACGCUUAGCGUCAUCCGUGAAGUUCAUUUUAGCCACUCGAACCCACAGAUUUUGGUCAGUCCCAUAUAGCUCGAAAUAAUCUUUGCACUGACUAAGCCAAUACUUGGGUUGGGAACCAUCGAACUUAGGGAAAUCGAAUUUAGGUAACUUAGGACUCUGGAACCCAUUAUGACCCACACCAGUAGACCCGCUACGAAAACCAUGAUCAAUAGGAGGAGGCAUAGCAUGCGACAUGGGUGGUGGCAUAGAAGAAACGGAAGAAAGUCCAGAUGGAGGUGGAUUCAUACCCGUGACCGGGGAAUGAACUAGGGUGGAAACCACCCCAAAUCCACUCUCCUGAUUACUGUUGUCGACGCGGUGCCCGUUGGGCGAAGUGGCUGUAGCGCCCGCAGGGGGACGUUCAGCACCGGCAGGAGCAGCAGCGAAAACGCCCGGCGAUGUUGCCGGUUGGUCGAGGAUCGCGCGCUCCCAGUUGCGAGAAAUCUUCGAGAUCUCCAGCUUGCUCUUCGAGACCUCCAGCUUGAUGUCGUCGACGGUGCCUUGAAUGGAUGGACGCCACUCGUCCAAGGUAGUUGUGACGCGCUCCAGCUGCUCCAGGCGAGACGCCUGCGCCACCUCCAGAUCCCCGAUCUGGCGCGACAGACGGGCCUCCUGAUCCGCGAACCGCGAAUCCCACUUCGCAUCGUGUUCGUUGAAGCGCUUGGCGAGUUCAUCCAGGAUGAGGCGAGUCUCCGGAUUCAUCAUGCCCAGUCGAUGUUGACGACGGGUAAAGUGGUGGUGUGCGAGGGUGGGGGACGGAUCCAGAUCGAGGCACCCACAAACCGAUUCAAAGCGUGGAGUGGAAUUACAGCGUUCCAAUCGCUAUCAGCAGCUCACUGCUAGCGAUCGAAUCAAGCCAACCAGAUCCGUUGCCAAAUCGAUCGAUGGAAUGUGUGCGCUCAGAUCUGAAAGCAGACCCAAAAUCGGUGUCUCUGAUACCAAUUGUUAGCAGUAGGCAAGGGUUGGAGAAAUUGGGGAAGGGAAUUAAGACGAACAGCAAGCAAAGACGCAGAUAGAUCGGCGAAGAAACGAAGAUGAGUGCUUAGGCAGUUAGAAUUUGGUUUACAACUUUCUGAAUGCCUCUCUUCUCUCCCAAGCCAAGUCUUAUACGAUACAUGGGCAAAGCCCCGCCCGUGCACGCAGGCACGCUAAACCCAUUCUGGGCCGGCUAAACGGACGUUGGGCUUCCUCACGCGAACCCGAGUGCUUGGCCAUGGGCUUCUUCUCCUGUGGCCUCGUCAGGUGGAGAAGUGCUGACACCGAGCUUCCACGAGCAGGCCCGCGGGCUUUCGACGCAGAUCAGGGAGGUGGCGGCAGGUACAUGAUGUGCGUCACAGGGCUGCGGUAGCCCUGGCUGCCGUCCAUAUUUGUCUUCCGCCUAGGGUAGAGGUGCCCAAGGACGUUGACGUCGGAUAGUUGGUUGCCGAGUGCCGACCUUGGCGCUGCCGCCAAUGCCAUGCUGGGGUUGUUAGCGUGGAACAGGUAAGGACGCUCUUCGUCACUCGUCAGGGAUGAAUUCUGUCGAUCUGUUUUCUCUAUAAAAGGAUAUGUGAAUAAAAUUCUGAUUUGUGAGUUAGUAGUCUUCUGCAAACUUUCCCGUGUGCGCAAUUGUGCGUAGUAGUAACCACCUAACGCUCGGAUAGGUUAGUGUAAGGUAUCCGGGUGUUGAGACUUUGCCAAUCUUAAGGGGGUCCCAAUAAACGCAUUCAUCCGAGCGGAGUGAGUCGUUGUCGCGAGAUCAUUUUUAAACUGGGUACAAGUUUAAAAAUCCUGGGAUUACUCGCGUGCGAGUUUGUCUAGUGGAUAGGUUUUGGUAAUCCUGAGAUUACUUUGUUGGGUGUAACCGGAACUCUCUUCUCUUAAUGAAAAACGUGCGAAUGCACGAUCUCGAAAAAAAAACUGGGUACAAGUGUUGUAUCUAGUGUGCAGCCCCCCGAGUGUUUCGAAUUGAGUGUCGUUCAGGGCUUCAGGCUAGUGUAGCCAUACUCGAGAGGCGUUGCAGUCGCUUGUGGCUAUGCCAACAAUUUGAGUCACAGAUUUGGGUUUUUAGCCCCGAUCGAGUGCCUUGUUGAGUUGUUGUGUGUUAGUGUAACAUUGCAAGGUACCGAGAGGAAAAAAAACAAUUGUCAAAGGACAUUGCAUAUAAUCGGAACUUAGCCCCCGAGCGACCUGAGGAAGCAAACUCUAGGUCUCGGGAACACAAAGCUUUUAUUCAUAGCUACCUGAGACAUGCAUACCAUUGUUGAAAAGGAAAAAUCUUAUACUAUUACUAAUUAGAGGCCCCAAUGAAGAUACCAUGUUAAUUCUCAUCAAACGCACUAGGAACAAAAAUAAAUCAUAGAAAUUCUCACAAUGAUUAGAAGUGAAAUCUUACAGCGCUUGGAAGUAAUGUGAGCCCUCCAUUUUAUUCAUUCUGAUGGUUUAAAAAUAGAAAGAACCAAGUAAAAGGAACUUAAGUUGUGGGACGUAACCAGAAAUAUAUGGAUCCAGAACUGAUUUCUAAUUAAAUAUUAAGGGUACAACAACACUUUGUCUCCGGAGCUGCUUCUUCAUCCUAGCUUCUCCUCUCAUAUCCGUGUGUUCUUCCCAAGCAGAGACAAACAGCAGAGUCCUCGGCCCUUCGCACCCAGCCCCAGCCAUCAUCCCCACUUCCACUCUUUCUUCCUCGAAGCCGACGGCGCCUAGCUGCCCUUGCCGUGCAGAGCUUGCUCCGGCAGACAGCCACUGUUGAUGCUCCUCUGCCUCCUUAGAAAGCCUCGAUGAGCAUCCCCUGUGCCCAAUGCGACCUCCUCAUCUCCUAGCACUACCGCAGACAGCGCCUUUGCCUAGCGCCUGGUUAUUUGCCGAGCGCUAUUCAUCGGGCGCUCGGCAAAGGCCACCUUUGCCUAGCGCAGGGCCCUCGGCAACGACUGCCCUCGGCAAACGGAGACGCUCGGCAAAGAACGUCUUUGCCAAGCGCCAGGCGCUCGGCAAAGGCUCGCUCUCGGCAAAGGCUCGCUCUCGGCAAAGAACAUCUUUCCCAAGCGCCAAGCGCUCGUCAAAGGCUUGCACUCGGCAAAGAGAUAACACAUAUAACAUGGGGUACCUGCCGUCACCCUUUGCCGAGCGCCCUCCGUUAGGCGCUCGGCAAAGGCAUCUCUUUGCCUAGCGCUGAUUUUUGACGCUCGGCAAAGGCAUCUCUUUGCCUAGCGCUGACUUUUGGCGCUCGGUAAAGUUUUUUUUUUGAUUUUUGCUUUCAAACUUUUUUGUUUUGUAUUACACAUUAUUUAAUAGUAUAUGUUAAGGUUUUGGUAGUUUUUAAAAUCUUUUUAUUAUAGUUAUGAUGUCUAGGUUUCUAACUAACUUCCGUGACAACAUGCACAAAAUUUUACCAAAUUUUUACCAUAGCAUCCACAUGUGCUCCAAAGACGUGUCGCUAAGUUAUGUAAUUUUUGGACUUCAUUUGCAUUUUAUAUAAUUUAAUAGCACUCCACGCGCAACUUGGUCGCUGUGUUCCAUACGCGGGAUGUUCAAUAUUUCAUGCGUGCUCCUGGAUACGGCCUUAACAUACGCUAAGUAAAGCAAAUAUCAAUUUUUGAACCGUCGAAAUCGAAGAUUCGAUACAUCUAGUGUUCAAAACCGUGUUUAUCGCAGAAAUUCAGUUAAACCAAAUAAACUAACGAUAUAUAAUAAAAAGAUUUAAAAAACUACCAAAACUAAAACAUAUACUAUUAAAUAAUAUGUAAUGCAAAACAAAAAAGUUUGGAAGCAAAAAGCAUAAAAAAAAUCUUUGCCGAGCGCCAAAAGUCAGCGCUAGGCAAAGACGCUUUGCCGAGGGUUGCGCUAGGCAAAGUUGACCUCUUUGCCAAGCGUUGUUCGAGAGCCCUCGGCAAAAUUGUGUAAUGGCCAACUUCACCCCAACAAAAAAAAACAAACAGAAAAAAAUCAAUUUUUUUUUGAAAAGUCAAAAAAGUCUUUGCCUAGCGUUUCCGAUCUGGCGCUUGGCAAAGAAUACUUUGCCGAGCGCCAGAUCAGGGGCGCUCCGCAAAGGAGCCACCAGCCCUUUCCAUUACACACAAGCCAGCGCAAAAAAAUAAAAAAUCUCACACACUCCUCACUACCGCGCCGCCCCGUCCCGCCCACACCACGUGCCCGCGCCCUGCGCUGCCGCCCCGCCCUCAGCCGUUGCCGUGCCGGCCCCGACCCCGCCUCGGCCGCGCCGCCCGUCCCGGCCGCGUCCGCGCCGGCCCCGUCCUGGCCGCGCCCGCCCACGCCGACCCCGACCCCGCCUCGGCCGCGCCCGCGCUCGCGCCGCCCCGUCCCGGCCGCGCCCGCCCACGUCGGCCCCGCCACCGCCUCAGCCGCGCCCGCCCACGCCGGCCCCGACACCGCCUCGGCCGCGCCAGUGCCGGAGCCGGCGCCGACCCCGCCCCGUCCCGGCCACGCCCGCCCGCCCGCGCUGCCCCGACCCUGCCUCGGCCGCGCCCACGCCGUCCCGCCCCGGCCGCGCCCGCACCGGCCCUCCUCCGCCGCUGCUGCCCGACCACGCCCGCGCCGGCCCCGGUCACUCUCGCCCCUACCUCGGCCCCGACUGUCGACCGCAGCACGCGCCCGCCUCAUCCGCUGCGCAUCGCCCCGCGCCGGUGAUGUAUGUGCUUGUCAGCCAUCGUGUUGGUGAUGUAUUUGUGGUUGUCGGCCAUCGUGUCGUCUUUUUUUUGCAGGUUUGGUAACCUCCCCGUACAGGGGAGGUGCUGCCGAAAUUUUUUGUUCUCACUAAUUGUUUUUUUUUCAGGAGGGCUCCCGUUGGAGGAUAGCCGGAGGAGCACGACUCGGCACUGCCCCGCUAGCCUGUCUUCACCGGCACCUACGGUAUGACCCCUCUUUCCGUCACAUAUGGUCUUAUGUCGCGUUACCCAGUUAGGCGUCUCCCGUCCGAAACGGAUACGGUUGGAAGUAUGCGAGCUUUGCAUAUGUAUAACCGUAUCUGUUUCGGAUUGUCCACUUUUUUGGACAGCCCGUGGAUGCGUAGACGAGGUUAGUUUCCAUAGUCUGCUCUGAUCCGAGAUAGGGUUUCGGCCUCACCUCCGUGUUGUUUUCCGGAUACACACUCUCCUCGCCGGGAUGUGUAUCUUUAGAACAGCGGGGAGGUGCUGCCGAAAUUCUGUCUCAGCUCGGAGUAGCCCAUGGAAACUAACCUCGUCUACGCAUCCGCAGGUGGGAUUAGGACCUAUCCUUACCUAUUAGAUGGUAGGAACACGAAGUAGAUGCACUUGAUGUUUAUGUUCAUCUUUGAUAUUCAUGUUAGACGAUGGAUGACCGUGAGUGGAUGUAUGCGGGAUACACAAGUAAGCAUGAUUUCAGCAUUGAAUGGGGGCAGAAGACAGAGGCUUUCUUGGACCGUGCAUUUGGCAGUGGUGUGAAUAGAGCGCGAUUGGCGAAAUGUCCCUGUAGUAAGUGUGCAAAUAGGAAAUGGCAGAACCAGGAGACCAUGGCUAAACAUCUUCAGUUGAAUGGCUUUGUGUCGGGCUAUACCCGGUGGGUACACCAUGGUGAAGCGCAUCGGUUGAGAGAGGAGGUUGUGCGGCCUCGCCUCGAGCAUGUCGAUGAUGGUGGUGGGGUUGUAGACAUGUUAGAUGACUUCGCACAAGCACAGAUCCCCGAUGGACGGGCGGAGGAGGCAGAGGCAUCCGCAAAGGCGUUCUAUGACAUGAUGGCUUCGGCAUAGAAACCCCUUCAUGAUCGCACGACGGUUUGUCAGCUCGAUGCCGUUGGACGCGUGAUGGCGUUUAAGGCCGAGAUCAACAUGAGUCGGCAACACUUCAAUGGCAUGCUGGCCUUGAUUGCUAGCAUCCUUCCAGAGGGCCACGUGCUGCCAAAGAGCCUGUACGAGUGCCAGAAACUCCUUGAUGGACUCAAGAUGCCGAACGAGCAGAUACAUUGUUUUCCGAACGGGUGUGUCCUGUUCAGGAAAGAUCUUGAGCAGGAGAAGUACUGUCCGAAGUGCAAAGCCUCUCGGUACCUGGAGGUAGACUCUGGUGGCGGCCAGAAGGAGCAGCUUACCGUCCCGAUGAAAAUCCUACAGUACCUCCCUUUCUUGCCGAGGAUCCAACGGCUAUACAUGAGCAAGGAGCCUGCUAAGCAAAUGACAUGGCACAAACUAGGGAAACGAUACAAUCUCGAGAAAAUGGUGCAUCCGUUCGAUGGUUAAGCAUGGCAACACUUUGAUCGCAUCCAUCAUGAGAAAGCAUCAGAGGCACGUAAUGUACGCGUGGCAUUGGCAACAGAUGGGUUCAAUCCUUAUGGUAUGAUGGCUGCCCCGUACACGUGUUGGCCUGUGUUUGUCAUCCCACUCAACCUCCCCCCGGUGUCUCCUUUCAGUGUCUGAACGUAUUCUUGUCAUUGAUUAUUCCUGGACACCUGGGGAAGAAGAUGGGUGUCUUCAUGGAGCCUCUGAUUGAUGAACUGGUCAGUGCUUAGGAGGAUGGGGUGUGGACAUAUGAUCGAGCAACAAAGAGCGUCUUCAAAAUGCACGUUUGGUACCAGUACUCCAUGCAUGACUUCCUAGCGUAUGGGUUAUUCUCCGUUUGGUGUGUCCAUGGGAAGUUCCCAUGUCCAUUAUGCAAGGCUCAUCUGAGGUUCAUCUGGCUCAAGAAGGGUGGCGAGUAUUUGUCGUUCGACAAACAUCGUCAAUUUUUGCCCCUCGACAACGUAUUCAGGCGAGACACCAUAGGCUUUACGAAAGGUGUCGAAGUCACUGAACCUCCACCACAGAUGAUGACUCCUGCCGAGGUCCAUGCUCAGAUUGAUGCUCUCGUGGAGAAUGAACAAGGUGAUGGGUUCAUGGGAUAUAGCGAGGAACAUAUGUGGACUCAUAAGUUUGGCUUGACAAGACUCCCUUAUUUUGAUGACCUCCUCAUGCCACAUUACAUUGAUGUCAUACACAUCGAAAAGAAUGUCGCGGAGGCACUCUGGGCAACGCUCAUGAACACUGAAAAGUCAAAGGACAACCCUAAGGCUUGAUUGGAUCUCGCAGAGUUGUGCCAUAGACCACAUCAAGAGAUACAAGCUCCUAGUGGUGGUAGGACAUGGAAAAGGCCUAAGGCAGAUUUUGUCCUGGCCCCUAGACAAAGGAGGGAAGUACUCCAAUGGAUGAAGACGUUGAUGUUCCCCGAUGGGUAUGCAGCAAAUCUGAGGAGGGGAGUGAACUUAAGUAUUCUUCGAGUGAACGGGAUGAAGAGUCAUGACUACCACAUUUGGAUUGAGCGUCUUCUCCCGACGAUGGUUCGAGGCUUCGUCCCCGAGCCCAUAUAGACAGUGCUGGCAGAGUUGAGCUACUUCUUCUGCCAGCUCUGUGCCAAGGAGUUAUCUCGAUCCAUGAUUGAAGACUUGGAAAAAGUGGCACCUUGAAAGGUCCAAAUGGCUAGAGGGGGGUGAAUAGCCUAUUUAAAAUUUCUACAAACUUCACUAAGCAAGUUAGUAAAACAAAUGGCGAAGCAAUUCUAGCACUAGCUCAACUAAGCUAUGCAAGCCAUCUAUACAAACUAGUACAAGGCUAAACACUAAAGCACAACAACAAGAGAGGGCUAGAUACACUCCUAAACAAGAAGACUAAACUAAACAAGCUAGACAACUAGCAAGGUAUACAAAUAAGUAAAGGAGUGGAGAGUGAUUGUUAUACCAACGUUGUAGAGUAGAGAUAUAUCCAAUCAAUCACUCACAAUCACAAGAGAAUCCUCGGCAAGAGAUGACACAAGUUUUUUUACCAAGGUUCACUUGCUUCCCGGUAAGCUACUCCUCGUUGUGGUGAUACACCCACUUGAUGGAUCACGAGCUAAUUGGAAAUCCAAAGCCAAACCCUCAGCGGGUGCCGCACAUCCACUCACAAGAUGGGGAUCCUCCAAGCCACGAGCAAUCCACUAGAGUAACCAAUUUACGAUCUCCCGCGGGGAAGGCUCAAGAACCCCUCACAAAUCACUUGGUGAGGCUCGAAACAAUCUCCAAUCACGAGCUCAACACCACCGCUGCUCCAAGCCGUCUAGGGCGUCGGGAAACACCCAAGAGUAACAAGAAAUCCGCAGCAAACUCAAGAAUCAAGUGCCACUAAAUGCAACUCUCAAAGCAAUGCACUUGAAUCUCACUCAAUCUCACUAGGAUUAGCAAUCAAGCAAGGAGAUGAGUGGUGGGAGUGUUCUCUAGCUCAAUGUAUGCCUCAAGUAUACACAUGUCCAAGAGAGAACCCCCCAAAGCCGGCCACCAACUAUUUAUAAGCUCUCUCAAAGAACUAGCUGUUGGCCACUUUCAUUGGGCUGAAAUCGGGGGCACCAGACGCUACUAAGUGAGCACCGGACGCUCGACCCCCAGCGUCCGGUGCACUAGGGUUAGCUACGUGUCCGAUUAUAACGGUCACCUGCGGAUCACUGGACACUCUGCAGGUCCACACCGGACGCGUCCGGUGCACAUCGGACUCAUGCGCAGAGAGUUCCGCAAACCUACGGGUCACCGGACGCUAAGCACCGGUAGCGUCCGGUGCUCACCGGACCCAUGCGCAGAGAGGGUCGCAAAACGCCCGUUCACCGGACGCUAACCACCGGACGCUCUCAGAGCACGUCCGGUGCUCCACCCUAGCAGGGUCAAGCACACCGGACUCCGAGGCCAGCGUCCGGUGCCUCAGCACUCAGCGUCCGGUGAGUGUUUCUUAGUGAGAAAACACUCCCGCGACUUCUCCAAAAUUCCCAUCGGCGCAAUAGAAAAUAUACACGUAUUUUUCUCAAAAGCGCCGAAUCCCGCCUCGCAAGCUCGGCGGGAGGGAGAGAGGAACCCAAACCCCUCUCAACCCUAGGAACUCCACCUCCUUUGCAAAUGUGCUAACACCAACAAGUGUCCACCACCAAAGUGCAUGUGUGUUAGCUUUUCACAAACAUUUACCCAAAGGAGUUAGGUUAGCACUUUACUAGAUCCUAAUGCAUAUGCUCAAGAUGUAGACCUAGUAGCACUUGAUUCGAGAGAUAACCGUGAUUUCCCCUCUUGAUAGUCGGCUAUCUAUCCUAAACCCGGUCAAUCACUUCUCUACUCAUCUUAGACCGGCAAAAGUAAAACCCUAUGUUUAUACCUUUGCCUUGAUAACUUUGCUCCUCGUCUAUCAUUAUGAUCUCCACAUCAAGCUUCAUCUCUUUGUAGUCAUGUGGCCACCUCUCCAUGCCACCAUGCACCUUCAUCACAUGUGUUGCUAUGCCUAACUCAAAUCACUUAAACACAAGGCAUUAGCAACUUGGUGUCACUAAUUACCAAAACCAAACUUGGGCUUUCAAUCUCCCCCUUUUUGGUAAUUGAUGACAACCAUCACAAAGAUAUGAAAUGAAAUCAUAAUGAACUUGAAUUGCUUGUCCAAAGCAUUUUAAUCAUGAGACAAGGUUGGACAAUCAUUUCAAUUUCGGUUUUGGUAGUACUAGCUCCCCCUACAUAUGUGCUUCCAUGAGUUUGGUUCAAAUUUGCACAUAUGCAUGAAUUGGAUUUUUGGGAGAUUUAUUACUACCCAAAUGAUGCUAAGGUAUAUAACAUGGACCUUUGAAGCGUGAUACCAAUCGGAGUUGCCAAUAUACCAUCCUUAGCACCAAUGUAGCUAGACAUACAUCAAGAAAACUCAAGAUACCUCGUGAGAUCACAUUAUAUGUCUAGAUACCACAUAAAAAUAAAACUCUAUGCUAGAAUUCAAAGCAUCAUUCAAGUUCUAUUUCUAGAAAGCAUCAAUCAAACAAGAAUAGUAUAUUUAAACUUGCAAUGCAACACAACAUUGUGAUAUAGACUUUAUCGCCGAAUAAGUGAUGCUAUUAUGAGAUAUAUGUGCUAUUGUGAUAUAUAUGGUGCCGGUGGUGAUAAAAUUGAUGGAAUUGUGAUAUAAAUGAUGCUACUUGUGUUCAUGGUGAUAUCAAUGUGCUAUUUGUUGUGUUCGCAUUGAAAGAAAGCAAAAAAUAAAAACUGGAUUCCAGCUUUGCCUAGCGCUGCACUAGGCAAAGAGCCUUUGCCGAGCGCGGCGCUCGGCAAAGCUGGAAUAUUUGGCGCAGGAAAACAGCAACCUACCCAGCUUUGCCGAGUGUUGUUGGAGGUGCUCGGCAAAAAUUUUUUUUAAAAAAACAAAUUUUCCUCUUUGCCGAGCGCGUUGUUGGAGGCGCUCGGCAAAGAAUUUUUUUUAAAAAAAAAAUUAGUUUCCUCUUUGCCGAGCGUUGUCUUGUAGGCGCUCGGCAAAAAAAUUUUCAAAAAAAAUGUUUUGCUCUUUGCCGAGCGCAGAGUGGAGACGCUCGGUAAAGAAGGUGUCACGGUGCAUAACGGUCAUGCCCGUCACUUUUUUUUGCCGAAGGCCCUUGUGGCGCUCGGUAAAGGCUUUGCCGAGCGCCCGACAAAAGACGCUCGGCAAAAGAGCCUUUGCCGAGUGUUUCUUUACCGGGAGCUCUUUGCCGAGCGCCACGCUCGGCAAAAGCCUUUGUCGAGCGCAAAUCGCUCUUUGCCGAGCGUCCCAGGCGCUCGGCAAAGCCGCGGUCUGCAGUAGUGUAGUAAUCAGGCCGUACGUCGCGAUUUGGUGCCGGCACCCAGCUUCGGCAAACAUGAGGAACUAGACAUGGUCGAGCAGAGCGCUGCGCGGCAUCGACACAAGCAGGUGGUCGGCCGUGGCACCGGCGCAGGCCGCGUACAGCCGCGCGGAGCCAAAAGGCAACGGAGUUACCAUGUGCCAUAAAAAAUACUAAACUAUACCCUUAGCUACUUUUCGAAAUCUCAAUAAUUUUCAGAGGAACCACCGGUUCCUCCCAAGCACUGUGACAAUGCUCUAGUUAAAAACAUCUGACGUUUACUUUGGUAGACUCUAAUCAUCAUUUAUGAUAAUAGCUAUUGGAAUUUAUAAAAAUAAUUACCAACCUUUGCCAUUAUGAAAAAUACUUAAAGUAACCCUCUAAUUGCGCAUAUAAAUUAUCCACCUCUGCAUUUAAUAAUCUGACAAAAAUCCUUCAAACAAAUAUCCCCUACCAAGUCAAGUUUGAAUUUGGUUGCGUACAUCUUUGAAUGUAGAGACCGGAUAUUGUUUAUCCUUUACCUAAAAAGUUUGGAUGACAGGUAGGAAGUCCGAGAACUCGACUCGAUGAAGAAACCGAUCCAUCAGUCGGGCGCAACCAUGAGCUGCCCGCCGGGUAUGUAUGGACUCCCCUGACUAUCUUAAUUAUUAACUAGCCGUGGUCGGCCUUACGAGACUGUUAAUGUUUUAAACAUUUGUGUACUAUAACAAUUUUGGUGUGUUUUCUCAUAUGUGGAUGAAGCACGAUAUUUUCUUCCAAUAUCCAAAAAAAAUAUGAAAUGAUAGGAACAAACGUAUCCACUCUUAGGAACAUCUUUGUUGACACGAUUAUAGUAACCUUAUCGGCCUUUGUUAGCAAAUUUGCGCCACAUAACAUCAAUUCUACAGCAGCUAUUUUUUUUUUCGAGACCACGCCGAGCGGCGCGUUUUUCAAUUCUACAGCAGCUAUUCAUCUGCAAAGUACUAGCACGUGCAUUUUGUUUUAAUUUUCUACAUAAUUUUGUUCCUGUGUCUGAAUCAUCCAUGAUGAUAAUUAAUAAUGUCCAUAUACUGUCUAGAAGAUCAGUUGCAUUGCAUGCUAAUAUGCAUUACUUUGUUCCCAUGAUGUUCCAAAAUUCAAUCCUGUAUAAUGGUCUAAAAAGUAAUAAUAUCUAGUACUUGUGUGGAAAAGGACUGACACGCUUCUUCCUCUGACCUGUCGUCCACGGCGGUCCACCCCUCUAGAUUCGAUCAUACGUACUUGCACACGUAAGUCACUAGUUUCUUUCAGUGCAACCCGAUUAUUAUAUUCAUUCUCUAGACAAGAAACAAAGCAUAGGGACGAACGUUUCUUCUCUUAGUCUUAGCAACAUCUUUCUAGCUAGCAGGACACUUGACACAUGCAACCAGCAAUUUCUACCUAGCUUCGGCCGGUGUUUGGCGUGGUUCAUCUUACUAUUGCACAAGCCAACCGAACGUGCCCGCCAAGAAAACGAUAGCCUACCACCACUACUUAUAUCGCACUCGCUCUCUCACGAAGCACACACUGCACAACUGUGGCCUUGUGGUUGUCACACAGCAAAUAACUCGAAAGGAAACAAUGGACGGCGACGUUGUAGCAGCUGCAGCAGCUUUGCCAUCACCGUGGAGCUUGCUCCAGGGGCUCCUUGCCCUGCUGAUCGCGUGGGGCAGCUACCAGGCCGCGGAGACAUUCUGGCUGCGGCCCCGGCGGCUCAACCGGGCGCUCCGGGCACAGGGGCUCAGCGGCACUGAGUACCUCUUCCCAGCCGGCGACCUCAAGGAGAAUGACAGGCUCAACGACGAGGCACGAUCGAGGUCUAUGCCGUUGUCCCAUGACAUAGUUCCCCGUGUGAUGCCGCAUCUCUUCAACACCGUUAAGGAGCACGGUAUGUGGAAAGCAAACACACGUUCAUUUCUUUCUCUCUCACUGAACUCACUCGCUUUGCGCACUCCUCUGCCUUACAUACUUACCCACCUCUUACCUCACCCCCGCAUAUGCGCAAACCCACCCUCCCCUAAACCUAGGUUGCAAACGACCACUCUACAGCUAAGGUCUAGGCAUUUGGUAUUACCGAACCAUGGUUCAGUACUUCAGUUCCCAUAGAAAUUCAGUUUCUCAAAAAAUAGGCACCGAUCAGUUUGUUCCAAGAUUUAGUACCCAAUGAAAUCGGUUUUGGUAUUUUUGGUUUGGUUUCAGUAUUUAUCCAAAACUACGGAACUGUGUGAACACAGAGACAUGUAAUAGCAGGUAUAAAAGCUAAAUUUGCAAGGAUUUUGAAGACAAUAAAAGUGCAAAAUGCAUACACAUGAAAGUCCACAAGACUAUAAGAGCAGAGUACUACAAAUACAUAAUAUAAUAGUUUUUAAUAGUACAAUUAAUAAUAUUAUAAUAUUUAAACUCAGCAUAUUUCGCGUAGUUUGGCCAGUCCAGGCUUGACUUGAUUCGGACUGUUUUGGACUUGUAUCGCCCCCUUCACCAUAUUCACGUUUAAGUAAACAAAAUUCACAUAGUCCUUUGUAAUGCUCAUUUCCCUAAAUUUGUCCGUUCCAAUAAACUAGAAAGUUACCUAAUUUUAAAGAUUGAAUUGAAGGUUCUGUAGAUUUAACGGCACAUGCAAAUGUUGAACUGCAGGCAACAUUUCUAUCACCUGGUUCGGACCAAUUCCUAGGGUGAUAAUCACGGAGGCAGAGUUAAUAAGGGAUGUCCUAUCAAACAAGUCUGGCCACUUCGAGAAGUUCAUCUCGAACAAGCGUCUUAUAAAAAUGCUCGCCCUUGGGAUUGCGAGUCACGACGGUGAGAAAUGGGCAAAACACAGAAGGAUUCUGAACCCCGCAUUCCAUCUCGAAAAGCUCAAGGUUCUCUGACUUCCUUCACACUGCAAAUCAGCCUCAGUUACGAUAUGUACGGCCUCAAGCAUAUAGAUAUGUGUGCUUACUAAAUUUAUUUUUUUAGCGCAUGCUGCCGGCGUUCUCGACGUGCUCUACCGAGCUUAUAGAUCGCUGGGAGAACAAGCUCGCUUGUUCCGACGGAUCAUAUGAACUGGAUAUCUGGCCGGAGUUUCAGAACCUCACUGGAGACGUGAUCUCCCGUACGGCAUUUGGCAGCAGCUUCAUGGAAGGGCGAAGGAUCUUCCAACUUCAGGGCGAGCAAGCAGAGCGA
This 35938-nucleotide long non-coding RNA is filed under the name Sorghum bicolor (sorghum). RNAcentral's name for it is "long non-coding RNA (SBIC_LNC005562)". Lineage: Eukaryota; Viridiplantae; Streptophyta; Magnoliopsida; Poales; Poaceae. The record is from RNAcentral.